ACUCCUACGGGAGGCAGCAGUAAGGAAUAUUGCGCAAUGGGCGACAGCCUGACGCAGCGACGCCGCGUGGGGGAUGAAGGUCUUCGGACUGUAAACCCCUUUCGACAGGGAAGAUGGAACGGGUAACCGUUCGGACGGUACCUGCAGAAGCAGCCACGGCUAACUUCGUGCCAACAGCCGCGGUAAUACGAAGGUGGCAAGCGUUGUUCGGAUUUACUGGGCGUACAGGGAGCGUAGGCGGUUGGGUAAGCCCUCCGUGAAAUCUCCGGGCCUAACCCGGAAAGUGCGGAGGGGACUGCUCGGCUAGAGGAUGGGAGAGGAGCGC
This 325-nucleotide ribosomal RNA is filed under the name uncultured bacterium. RNAcentral's name for it is "bacterial SSU rRNA". It matches the Rfam family "Bacterial small subunit ribosomal RNA", at positions 335 to 662 of the family's 1533-position model. The record is from RNAcentral.